This 492-nucleotide ribosomal RNA is filed under the name uncultured bacterium. Its description in RNAcentral is "partial 16S ribosomal RNA". It matches the Rfam family "Bacterial small subunit ribosomal RNA", at positions 29 to 507 of the family's 1533-position model. The record is from RNAcentral.
AGUGAACGCUGGCGGUAGGCCUAACACAUGCAAGUCGAACGGCAGCACAGUAAGAGCUUGCUCUUACGGGUGGCGAGUGGCGGACGGGUGAGGAAUACAUCGGAAUCUACUUUUUCGUGGGGGAUAACGUAGGGAAACUUACGCUAAUACCGCAUACGACCUACGGGUGAAAGCAGGGGAUCUUCGGACCUUGCGCGAUUGAAUGAGCCGAUGUCGGAGUAGCGAGUUGGUGGGGUAAAGCCCCACCAAGUCGACGAUCCGUAGCUGGUCUGAGUGGAUGAGCAGCCACACUGUGACUGAGACACGGUCCAGGCUCCUACGGGAGGCAGCAGUGGGGAAGAUUGGACAAUGGGCGCAAGCCUGAACCAGCCAUACCGCGUGGGUGAAGAAGGCCUUCGGGUUGUAAAGCCCUUUUGUUGGGAAAGAAAAGCAGCAGGUUAAUACCCCGCUGUUCUGACGGUACCCAAAGAAUAAGCACCGGCUAACUUCGUG